GAUGAACGCUGGCGGCGUGCCUAAUACAUGCAAGUCGAGCGAACGGACGAGAAGCUUGCUUCUCUGAUGUUAGCGGCGGACGGGUGAGUAACACGUGGAUAACCUACCUAUAAGACUGGGAUAACUUCGGGAAACCGGAGCUAAUACCGGAUAAUAUUUUGAACCGCAUGGUUCAAAAGUGAAAGACGGUCUUGCUGUCACUUAUAGAUGGAUCCGCGCUGCAUUAGCUAGUUGGUAAGGUAACGGCUUACCAAGGCAACGAUGCAUAGCCGACCUGAGAGGGUGAUCGGCCACACUGGAACUGAGACACGGUCCAGACUCCUACGGGAGGCGGCAGUAGGGAAUCUUCCGCAAUGGGCGAAAGCCUGACGGAGCAACGCCGAGUGAGUGAUGAAGGUCUUCGGAUCGUAAAACUCUGUUAUUAGGGAAGAACAUAUGUGUAAGUAACUGUGCACAUCUUGACGGUACCUAAUCAGAAAGCCACGGCUAACUACGUG
This 497-nucleotide ribosomal RNA is filed under the name uncultured bacterium. RNAcentral describes it as "partial 16S ribosomal RNA". It matches the Rfam family "Bacterial small subunit ribosomal RNA", at positions 28 to 507 of the family's 1533-position model. The record is from RNAcentral.